GAAGGUGCUGGGAUUCCUGUCCCUGUUCCCCUGCACUGAGCUUUGCCUCCCACUGUGCCUAGGAGGUGGGUGGUAAAUGAGAAGACCCUGCCCUCCUCCGUCUGCUGGGAGGGACACGGCGCUCUCCCCGCUCUGUUCCCUGCAGCCUCCUGGCCACUCUGAGCAGGGUGGGGUGGGAUUCGGCUCCUCUGCUCUCCCAGACCUGUCCUAGGUUUGUGCUUCUUCCCCCAUGAAUAGUGGGGUUGUGACUGGGGCAGCAGGCACUGAGUGGGGGGCACCUGUUGUUUCAGAUGCCGGUGACCUUUGCGGAGGUGGCUGUGUAGUUCACCGCGGGGCGGGGGGCUCUGCUGGACCCCACUCAGAGAGCCCUCUACAGGGACAUCAUGCAGGAGAACGAUGAGCCUGUGACCUCGCUGGGUAAGGAUUCCUGUCCCCUCAGGACUCCGCAUUCCCAAACCUGACCUGAUCGCCCGGCUGGAAGCAGGGGAAGAGCCGUGGGUCCCGGAUCUCCAGGCCAAAGCAACAUCCCAAGAGGCACCUGCACAGCAGAUGGUGAGACAAUGAGUGAGAACGAGGAGGGGAAUCCACAGCAGCAAGGUCUUGGGAAAGUGGAACUACAGGAGACAUUUAUGAGAAGGGAAUUUUUCCCAGUGCUU
Caretta caretta (loggerhead turtle) is the source of this 656-nucleotide long non-coding RNA. RefSeq lists it as uncharacterized. Lineage: Eukaryota; Metazoa; Chordata; Testudines; Cheloniidae. The record is from RefSeq and is a predicted model, not a curated record.